This 486-nucleotide ribosomal RNA is filed under the name uncultured bacterium. RNAcentral's name for it is "partial 16S ribosomal RNA". It matches the Rfam family "Bacterial small subunit ribosomal RNA", at positions 28 to 507 of the family's 1533-position model. The record is from RNAcentral.
GACGAACGCUGGCGGCGUGCUUAACACAUGCAAGUCGAACGCUGAAGACCUGGCUUUUGUUGGGUUGGAUGAGUGGCGAACGGGUGAGUAACACGUGAGUAACCUGCCCUCUUCUUUGGGAUAACGCCCGGAAACGGGUGCUAAUACUGGAUAUUCACUGAUCUUCGCAUGGGGGUUGGUGGAAAGGUUUGUUCUGGUGGGGGAUGGGCUCGCGGCCUAUCAGCUUGUUGGUGGGGUGAUGGCCUACCAAGGCUUUGACGGGUAGCCGGCCUGAGAGGGUGACCGGUCACAUUGGGACUGAGAUACGGCCCAGACUCCUACGGGAGGCAGCAGUGGGGAAUAUUGCACAAUGGGCGAAAGCCUGAUGCAGCGACGCCGCGUGAGGGAUGGAGGCCUGCGGGUUGUAAACCUCUUUCGCGCAUGGUCAAGCCGCAACUGUGGGUUGUGGUGAGGGUAGUGGGUAAAGAAGCGCCGGCUAACUACGUG